Molecule: ribosomal RNA, 246 nt
Filed under: uncultured bacterium
Lineage: Bacteria
Description: partial 16S ribosomal RNA
Rfam family: Bacterial small subunit ribosomal RNA
Source: RNAcentral
AAUCAACGCUGGCGGCGUGCCUAACACAUGCAAGUCGAGCGGGAAAGGGGGCUUCGGUCCCUGAGUAUAGCGGCGGACGGGUGAGUAACACGUGGGUAAUUUGCCCUUGGGUGUGGAAUAACUCAGGGAAACUUGAGCUAAUACCGCAUGACAUCCCCUUCUCACAGGAGUUGGGGAUCAAAGCCGGGGACCCUUCGGGGCCUGGCGCCUGAGGAGAAGCCCGCGCCCGAUUAGCUAGUUGGGAGU